GCAGGAGGAGAAUGGACUGGGGAAGGAGAGCGCUUGAAAGAGCUCGGACCGACCUGCUGCUGUCUCAUCAGCUCUAUCUGCACUAUCUGCUCCAUCAUCUAGGUCUGGAGUAGUUGGUACUCAUCGACGCAUGUAGCCAACUCAUCAGCUCACUGCUCAGUCCGCUGUCGAUUCUCAGUAGCCUGCCUUUAUAUCUCCACC
This 201-nucleotide long non-coding RNA is filed under the name Elaeis guineensis (African oil palm). Its description in RNAcentral is "long non-coding RNA (EGUI_LNC030496)". Lineage: Eukaryota; Viridiplantae; Streptophyta; Magnoliopsida; Arecales; Arecaceae. The record is from RNAcentral.